CAAUAGCGUAUAUUAAAGUUGUUGCAGUUAAAAAGCUCGUAGUUGAAUUUUUGCUUGCCGCCGAUGUCGGAACUUCCGUACGUUCGGCGGCGUGCAUCCUUGGGUGGAACCUGUGUGGCAUUAGGUUGUCGUGCAGGGGAUGCUCAUCGUUUACUGUGAAAAAAUUAGAGUGUUCAAAGCAGGCUUACGCCGUUGAAUAUAUUAGCAUGGAAUAAUAAGAUAGGACCUUGGUACUAUUUUGUUGGUUUGCGCACCGAGGUAAUGAUUAACAGGGACAGUUGGGGGUAUUCGUAUUCCAUUGUCAGAGGUGAAAUUCUUGGAUUUCUGGAAGACGAACUACUGCGAAAGCAUUUGCCAAGGAUGUUUNCAUUGA
Molecule: ribosomal RNA, 373 nt
Filed under: uncultured eukaryote
Lineage: Eukaryota
Description: partial 18S ribosomal RNA
Rfam family: Eukaryotic small subunit ribosomal RNA
Source: RNAcentral